CCAGAGAAUGGAACUUUGAGCGGCAAUUCGUUCUCUUUAUUUUCUUCAUUCACACGCGCUCUCUCUCUCUUUUCAAAAACCCUAAUUGAAACGCGAUGGAGGCUGGAAACCAAGCACUGGUCAUUCACACGCGCUCUCCCUCUUCUCUCAGGCGAUUCAAAUGGCGAUUCAAAAACCAGAUCUGAGAUUCCAGGUACCUUUCAUCUAAUAACCUAAAAUCAUCUUGAAUCUCUCUUUUGUGUACGCAGAUCUGAAACCCUACAUUCUUCUUCACGCUUCCUGUUGUCGUUAUCGAUUCGUCAUCACUUUAACUUCUUCGUUCUUCUUUAUCUUUUGUAGAUCCGACCCUAAAAGUUGCAGGUAUGGUGGUGUCGGAUCUACAGAGAUUCAACACUGAGGUAUACUUCACUUUUCUUCUCCGAUCGAAUAUCACGGGUUCCGUUUUAUUGCUCCUGUUGCUGUUUAUUUGUCGGUUCAUCGGUUAAUAUAGAAGGAUAUGUGGUGGAUGAAUUUGUUAUUUUGUUUGUUAUUUUGUUUGUAGGAUUUGUGGUGGAUGGAUUUUGUUUCUUAGUUCUAAAUUCACAUAUUUUACUCUGGUAACACAUAAAUAAUACUUCUGUUCCUCACAAAUCAUGUGUAUAUUGUUAUUAAUCAACUAGAUUUUUUGUAGUUACUCUUGCAUAUGUCAUUCAGGCAAUUUUUUAAAGAUGAUGACGAUGAUUAUAAACAGUCAUCAUAUCCAAAUCAUAAGCAAGUGUUGUAUAAAGAUCCACGUGCUUCACCAGCGGAGGUAACGGUUCUGAGCUCCUGAAAUGAAUCGAUUCCAUCAGUCUAUUUCAUCUUCGUCUAUUCUAUUCUGAUGACCUCCUGCAGCAACGACCGACGAACUAGACAGCCGCAUCAGGCGGCGGCUUUUUUAAACAUGUGGGUCUUCCGGCUUUUAAGGGUGGCACCAAAGUGAUUUAAGGGUUGUUGCGCAUGUGAGAAUCGUUCUUUGAAGACGCUGAAAUCGGUGGAGAGACAACUGAUUGCAAAUGACAAGUUUGGUACCACCAUUUCGAUGUAAGCAUGAUAUAUGUUGCUGAUCUUAACUACAAAUAGGCAGCGAAUACAGGCCCUGGGUGGAAGGAAUAGUAGGAAAAAGAAUGUUCAUCCAUCCUCAAAUAAUAAAUGAGUCAGUUUCAGAUUUUUCACUGUGAUUCCACAUCAGAUUUUUAGGUUUCGAGUAAUCAGAAGUUGCCAUCAGUGUAUCUUCUCGACAAUAUUGUGAACACAUUGGGCGGGAUUGCAUUAAACACUUUUCGACCAAACUCCUCGAGGCGUAUAGACAGGUUGAUUCUACACUACAUUCUGGUAUGGGACAUCAUUUCGGGACUUGGAAAGGAGUGUUUCCUCCUCAAACGCUUCAAUCACAAGAGAAAGAACUUGGUUUACAAUCAGUCGGGAAGUCGGGAACAGGAAGAAAAGGCAGGAGUUAUCAUUUACUGAAUUGACUGAUGAUAUGGUGUGAACUGUUGAAGAAAAUGUCAAAAGAGAUCUUAAAAGUUCAACGAAUUCGGAUUGUGAAAGUCCCAUUGAGAAGCCAUCAAUUUGAGCAUGUGGGUCUACUUACUUCUGGAACAUUAAAUGUUUCUUUGACAUCAGGAGUGGCGAUUAAGCUUUUCUUAGACUAUUCUUAGAUGCCACCUGCAUAAUGGUUUCACACAAGGAAAGUAUAGAUGUGAUUAGAGGUGCAUAAAACCGGGUACCCUAUUCCUAGGUAUUGUAAUGCUUAUUUUUAGGUAUUUUUUUUAAAAAUGAUUAAUGACGCUGACUCUAUGCCAGCGGAUAUUGGUACGGAACUGACAAAGGACUAAGAACUUUAAAAAGCCCAUGAUAUACAUGACUACAUGUUCACAGAAAGGAAGAUAGAUACUAAACAUUUCAGAUUGGCGUAGAGUUGGGAUUGUAUGAAACAUCUAAAGAAAUAUCAGUUGUUUCUUAGACUCACUCGAUACUACAUUUGGUUGAGAAAAUAUAUUAUAUAAAAUGAUGUGUGAUUUUUCAUAUUUAUUUGUUAAUGAGAAGCCACUUCGUGUUAAA
Helianthus annuus (common sunflower) is the source of this 2082-nucleotide long non-coding RNA. RefSeq lists it as uncharacterized. NCBI's taxonomy places the organism in Eukaryota, Viridiplantae, Streptophyta, Magnoliopsida, Asterales, Asteraceae. The transcript is spliced from 14 exons. The record is from RefSeq and is a predicted model, not a curated record.